GUCCCAGGAUGCUCUGCUUAUUGAGCACUUUCAUCUGCUUUUAGGCUUUAGUUGGGUUUUGUCUUUGUCUGCUAUUCUUUCAGGCUGCAAUUUUCUCCCAUUUUUUUUUUUCACAUUCUUGUCUCUAGAGGACUUCUGAGUUCUUCCUAAAGGUAUUUCUUAUGGGUUGUGAGCUGAACACCAGAUAACCAAGUUUGUUGGAAUUCUGUCUAAAAAUUCAUGUCUUUGUCUCAGAUUUUGUGACAUCUUUUUUUAACUUUUCAGAAGUGGCCUAACAUCCUUCCUAGGUCUUGACAGCAUCACGCACACUUGAGAUGGCCAUCUAACUGACUGCCAGAAGUGAGACGUCUCUGAGACAAUGGAGAGUUCUUCAUGGGUGUGACUAGCUGUCUCCCAGGGCUCCAGAGUGUGAGCCCGCUUUAUAGAUUCCUGAGCACAUCACAGUGGACCAGGGAGGGAAGGCUGAAGUGGACAGGUCAUCCUUGCAGCCACAUCUACUGCUAUUUCCACUGGAACCGCAAAUGCUUCCACCGUCCAUGUGUUUCCCAGGGUACCUUCAAUCUCACAUCCUUACGCUGUCAGUAGAUAUGGAAAAAAGCCCUCUCCCUCCACCACUGACCAUGGGAGACGGGACAGGAGAGAAAAAGAAGAAAGAGGAGAUUGGGGAUGGAGUGGAUGCAGAGGAGGAAACCUACUUCUCCCUCCCCCAGCCCACCCUUCCUUCAGCUGAAAAACAGCUCCUGUCACCUUAACUCUAACCUCCCCAGCAAGCCUUCCGCACAGCAAAGCUGCUUUUAGCAUUUGCUCAUUCCAAGCUGAGAUGGGAAUUACAUGGGAAAGCACUCUUAUUUCUUCCCUCCCAUCCUGGAGGAGAGACUCAUGCAAGUAAACAAGAAAACGCUGAGAAAACAAGAACAAGCCCUGCAGUAGAUUGUACUUGUAGAUGCACGCCCUAAGAGAUUCUGUAAAAUACAGCCGAUCAAUGAAUCAGAAAGAGAAAAAAACAGAAGGAAGAGGAUGCUGAAAAUAGUACCUGCCCGUAAACCUCGGCGCGAAUCACCUGGGAUGUACCAGCUGGUGAGGUAUGAAGCCAGCUUUGAACAAGCGCACCUACUGUCAUUUACAUUUUAAUUAUCACGUUUUAUGAGGCUGUUACAUCUUAAUGAAAUACAAAUUUGUUUACCCAAAGUUCUCUUUGCCAUAUGGCUCAAUAAUCGGGCCUGUCUCAUAAGCUUCACAGGGUCGGGAUGGAAAAGAAUGAUCUUUCAUAAUAAUACAACCUUCUAGAAGGAUGCUGUCCA
RNAcentral lists this long non-coding RNA (1301 nucleotides) under Capra hircus (goat). Its description in RNAcentral is "lncRNA (ENSCHIG00000005971.1)". The record is from RNAcentral. Lineage: Eukaryota; Metazoa; Chordata; Mammalia; Artiodactyla; Bovidae.